This 789-nucleotide ribosomal RNA is filed under the name Myxozoa sp. OMsCVII 7. Its description in RNAcentral is "SSU rRNA". The record is from RNAcentral. Lineage: Eukaryota; Metazoa; Cnidaria; Myxozoa.
AUUGCAUUUAUUAKGUAAAACCAACCGUAUAAGUAAAAUUAUACGUGGUGAAUCUAGAUAACUUUGCUGAUCGCAGCCUUGUGCAGCGACGUUUCGAUUGAGUUUCUGCCCUAUCACCUUGAUGCUAGUGUAUUGUACUAGCAUGGGAGUAACGGGUAACGGAGGAUCAGGGUUCGAUCCCGGAGAGGGAGCCUGAGAAACGGCUACCACAUCCAAGGAAGGCAGCAGGCGCGCAAAUUACCCAAUCCAGACAAUGGGAGGUGGUGACGAAGAGUACCGGAUGACUGGAUAAUAUUCAGUCAGUCUGGAAUGAAUACAAUUUAAGCAAUUGAGUUGAGAAACAACUGGAGGGCAAGUCUGGUGCCAGCAGCCGCGGUAAUUCCAGCUCCAGUAGCGUGUCUCAAAGUUGCUGCGCUUAAAACGCUCGUAGUUGGAUGAAAAACUACAUAUUGGAAAGUUAUUCGUUGGGUUUACAACAGUGUAGUUUUAUUGUUUUGCCUUCGGUAAUCGAUAUAUUCUCACUUGUUGACCAGCAGUAACAUAUAACUGAUAUGUAGUAAUUGCGUGUGAGGAUGACCAUUGACCUUAAGUGUGUUGAAGGUCGUGUCUCAUGGGAUGUGCCUUGAGUAAAUCAGAGUGCUCAAAGCAGGUGUUAUGCCUGAAUGUUUUUAGCAUGGAACGAACAAUAAUGUAGACGCGUAUUGAAUAUAGUAGUUUGAUUUGYCUUUGACUCUUCAAUUCUACUUCAAUGCGUAACAUCUACCGCCAAUUACGAAUGUUGGUUUCGUA